Molecule: ribosomal RNA, 1346 nt
Filed under: Ips acuminatus
Lineage: Eukaryota; Metazoa; Arthropoda; Insecta; Coleoptera; Curculionidae
Description: 16S ribosomal RNA
Rfam family: Archaeal large subunit ribosomal RNA (bases 1077-1235)
Source: RNAcentral
GGUAAGAAAAUUAUUGUUAUUUAUAAAAGUUAAUAUUUAUAUUUUUAUUUAAGAAAAAUCUUUAUGUUAAAUUAUUUUUUAUAGAAAAAAUUUUUAUUUAUUAUAGAAUAAUAGUAUUGUGAAAGAAUUUUUUAAAUUAAUUAAAAGAAAAAUUAAUUUUUUGUACCUUGUGUAUCAGGGUUUAUUAAAAAUAUAAUUUUUAAUGUAAAUUUUUCUCGAAUUAAUAAGAGUUAUAAAUUUAUUAUUUUUAAUGUAGAAAAAUUAUUAUUAAUAAAUUUAUAGAGGUGAAACGUUAUUCCGUUUAUUAAUAUAUCUAGUUUUAAAGGAAAUAAAUUUAAUUUAUAAUUUAAUAAAUAAUUUUUUAUGGGGUAAUAGUUAUUUUUAAAAUUAAAUAAUUUAAGGGUUGAGCUUUAAAUUAAAUUUGGUAAAAUAAAAUUUUAAAAUUUAUAAAAAAAGUAGAAUUAGAAGUUUUAAUUAUAGUGUUUAAUAACUAAUUUUAAGGGGUUAAUUUUUUAUAUUUUAAAAGUUUUACUUUUUUUACUUUAAUAUUUAUUUAAAUAAUAAUAAUAAAGUAAUUAUGAUAUAAUUAGUAGAAAAUUUUUAUAUAAUUAAUUAAAUUUUUAAUAAAAAUUUAGAUUAAGUUAAGGAAUUCGGCAAAAUUAAUUUUUCACCUGUUUAUUAAAAACAUGUCCUUUAAGAAUUUGAUAAUUGAAGGUCGGGCCUGCCCAGUGAUGUUGUUGUUUAACGGCCGCAGUAUUUUGACUGUGCUAAGGUAGCAUAAUCAUUAGUUUUUUAAUUGAAAGCUGGAAUGAAAGGUUUGAUGAAAAAAUAACUGUCUCAGUUUAAUAAUUUGAAAUUUAUUUUUAAGUUAAAAAGCUUAAAUUUUUAUAAAAGACGAGAAGACCCCAUAGAGUUUCAUAUUUUUAAAAAAGUUAUGUAAUUGGAAAUAAUAAAUUCUUAUUGUAAAAAUAUUUAAUUGGGGUGAUUUAAAAAUUUAAUUAACUUUUUAUAAAUAAUUACAUAAAUAAGUGAAAAAAUUGAUCCUUUUUUUAGAUUAAAAGAAAAAUUACCUUGGGGAUAACAGCGUAAUUUUUUUUUAGAGUUCUAAUCGAUAAAAAAGUUUGCGACCUCGAUGUUGGAUUAAAAUUAAUUUUUGGUGUAGAAGCUAAAAUAUUAGGUCUGUUCGACCUUUAAAAUUUUACAUGAUCUGAGUUUAAACCGGCGUGAGCCAGGUUGGUUUCUAUCUUUAUGAAAUAAAAUAUUUUAGUACGAAAGGACCAAAUAUUUCUUUUUUUAAAAGUUUUAAAUUUUUGAGUAUAAUUAAAAGUUAAGAAAAAAGAAAAUUA